GAGGGUAUAGCUCAGUGGUAGAGUGCAUGCUUAGCAUGCACAAGGUCCUGGGUUCAAUCCUCAGUACCGCCA
RNAcentral lists this transfer RNA (72 nucleotides) under Camelus bactrianus (Bactrian camel). It matches the Rfam family "tRNA". Rfam says of the family: Transfer RNA (tRNA) molecules are approximately 80 nucleotides in length. Their secondary structure includes four short double-helical elements and three loops (D, anti-codon, and T loops). Further hydrogen bonds mediate the characteristic L-shaped molecular structure. tRNAs have two regions of fundamental functional importance: the anti-codon, which is responsible for specific mRNA codon recognition, and the 3' end, to which the tRNAs corresponding amino acid is attached (by aminoacyl-tRNA synthetases). tRNAs cope with the degeneracy of the genetic code in two manners: having more than one tRNA (with a specific anti-codon) for a particular amino acid; and 'wobble' base-pairing, i.e. permitting non-standard base-pairing at the 3rd anti-codon position. The record is from Rfam by way of RNAcentral. RNAcentral also lists the same sequence under 2 other names. Lineage: Eukaryota; Metazoa; Chordata; Mammalia; Artiodactyla; Camelidae.